Wasmannia auropunctata (little fire ant) is the source of this 677-nucleotide long non-coding RNA. RefSeq lists it as uncharacterized. The record is from RefSeq and is a predicted model, not a curated record. Lineage: Eukaryota; Metazoa; Arthropoda; Insecta; Hymenoptera; Formicidae. The transcript has 2 exons.
CGGUGACUGUGCAAAUCGUUUCUCUCGCUAAUAUUUCAAUGUCUUGAACUUCAAUACUUCUAAAUCGAUUAUAAUAGUUCGAUAAAAAGAAGAAAUGUGACACACAACGGCAUGUCAAUAAUUUAGCAUAAAAGUUAACAUUAACUACAUAAUAUCACGUAACGAUCCGACUGAGAAUUUCAUAAGGGCGACGACUAUAUAAUUCGUGCACGGAUCGCCGCAUCAUCGACGAUCACGCUUCUCGAAGAAGAAACGCACGAGCACUAACACACCUGGUGUAAUCGGCAGUGGCGAUCCUCGCUGACACAAUGAGACACGUACCACCACGGAGUAAAGGGUUGCAAGAAGACGAGAGUCUUCCGGGAAGCGAUGAAAGACUCUCGCUCCUUGAUCAGGUGUGCUGUACAUCCUGAAGGAACGAUCAGUUUUAUACGAGGUCAACUUGGUGUUCUACAGCGAUCGUGUCAAAGAUCGUGAGAUCGUUACUGCUCGUGCAAAAAUAUUUAAAUUUUUUUACGCUACAUUUAGAUAAUAAAAAAUUACAUAUAAAAUAAAUACCGCUAAAAAUAAAAAUAAUAAAAAUAGCAGUAUUUUUUAUUAACUAUACAUAAGAUGUAGAAUUUUGUAGAAGUUUCGACUUCUGUGCAAAUUAAAUAAAUAAAAUCAUGACGUUUUCA